UUAAGCGACUAAGCGUACACGGUGGAUGCCUGGCAGUCAGAGGCGAUGAAGGACGUGCUAAUCUGCGAUAAGCGUCGGUAAGGUGAUAUGAACCGUUAUAACCGGCGAUUUCCGAAUGGGGAAACCCAGUGUGAUUCGUCACACUAUCAUUAACUGAAUCCAUAGGUUAAUGAGGCGAACCGGGGGAACUGAAACAUCUAAGUACCCCGAGGAAAAGAAAUCAACCGAGAUUCCCCCAGUAGCGGCGAGCGAACGGGGAGCAGCCCAGAGCCUGAAUCAGUGUGUGUGUUAGUGGAAGCGUCUGGAAAGGCGCGCGAUACAGGGUGACAGCCCCGUACACAAAAAUGCACAUGCUGUGAGCUCGAUGAGUAGGGCGGGACACGUGGUAUCCUGUCUGAAUAUGGGGGGACCAUCCUCCAAGGCUAAAUACUCCUGACUGACCGAUAGUGAACCAGUACCGUGAGGGAAAGGCGAAAAGAACCCCGGCGAGGGGAGUGAAAAAGAACCUGAAACCGUGUACGUACAAGCAGUGGGAGCACAGAGCAAUCUGUGUGACUGCGUACCUUUUGUAUAAUGGGUCAGCGACUUAUAUUCUGUAGCAAGGUUAACCGAAUAGGGGAGCCGAAGGGAAACCGAGUCUUAACUGGGCGUUAAGUUGCAGGGUAUAGACCCGAAACCCGGUGAUCUAGCCAUGGGCAGGUUGAAGGUUGGGUAACACUAACUGGAGGACCGAACCGACUAAUGUUGAAAAAUUAGCGGAUGACUUGUGGCUGGGGGUGAAAGGCCAAUCAAACCGGGAGAUAGCUGGUUCUCCCCGAAAGCUAUUUAGGUAGCGCCUCGUGAAUUCAUCUCCGGGGGUAGAGCACUGUUUCGGCAAGGGGGUCAUCCCGACUUACCAACCCGAUGCAAACUGCGAAUACCGGAGAAUGUUAUCACGGGAGACACACGGCGGGUGCUAACGUCCGUCGUGAAGAGGGAAACAACCCAGACCGCCAGCUAAGGUCCCAAAGUCAUGGUUAAGUGGGAAACGAUGUGGGAAGGCCCAGACAGCCAGGAUGUUGGCUUAGAAGCAGCCAUCAUUUAAAGAAAGCGUAAUAGCUCACUGGUCGAGUCGGCCUGCGCGGAAGAUGUAACGGGGCUAAACCAUGCACCGAAGCUGCGGCAGCGACGCUUAUGCGUUGUUGGGUAGGGGAGCGUUCUGUAAGCCUGUGAAGGUGUACUGUGAGGUAUGCUGGAGGUAUCAGAAGUGCGAAUGCUGACAUAAGUAACGAUAAAGCGGGUGAAAAGCCCGCUCGCCGGAAGACCAAGGGUUCCUGUCCAACGUUAUUCGGGGCAGGGUGAGUCGACCCCUAAGGCGAGGCCGAAAGGCGUAGUCGAUGGGAAACAGGUUAAUAUUCCUGUACUUGGUGUUACUGCGAAGGGGGGACGGAGAAGGCUAUGUUGGCCGGGCGACGGUUGUCCCGGUUUAAGCGUGUAGGCUGGUUUUCCAGGCAAAUCCGGAAAAUCAAGGCUGAGGCGUGAUGACGAGGCACUACGGUGCUGAAGCAACAAAUGCCCUGCUUCCAGGAAAAGCCUCUAAGCAUCAGGUAACAUCAAAUCGUACCCCAAACCGACACAGGUGGUCAGGUAGAGAAUACCAAGGCGCUUGAGAGAACUCGGGUGAAGGAACUAGGCAAAAUGGUGCCGUAACUUCGGGAGAAGGCACGCUGAUAUGUAGGUGAAGUCCCUCGCGGAUGGAGCUGAAAUCAGUCGAAGAUACCAGCUGGCUGCAACUGUUUAUUAAAAACACAGCACUGUGCAAACACGAAAGUGGACGUAUACGGUGUGACGCCUGCCCGGUGCCGGAAGGUUAAUUGAUGGGGUUAGCGCAAGCGAAGCUCUUGAUCGAAGCCCCGGUAAACGGCGGCCGUAACUAUAACGGUCCUAAGGUAGCGAAAUUCCUUGUCGGGUAAGUUCCGACCUGCACGAAUGGCGUAAUGAUGGCCAGGCUGUCUCCACCCGAGACUCAGUGAAAUUGAACUCGCUGUGAAGAUGCAGUGUACCCGCGGCAAGACGGAAAGACCCCGUGAACCUUUACUAUAGCUUGACACUGAACAUUGAGCCUUGAUGUGUAGGAUAGGUGGGAGGCUUUGAAGUGUGGACGCCAGUCUGCAUGGAGCCGACCUUGAAAUACCACCCUUUAAUGUUUGAUGUUCUAACGUGGACCCGUAAUCCGGGUUGCGGACAGUGUCUGGUGGGUAGUUUGACUGGGGCGGUCUCCUCCUAAAGAGUAACGGAGGAGCACGAAGGUUGGCUAAUCCUGGUCGGACAUCAGGAGGUUAGUGCAAUGGCAUAAGCCAGCUUGACUGCGAGCGUGACGGCGCGAGCAGGUGCGAAAGCAGGUCAUAGUGAUCCGGUGGUUCUGAAUGGAAGGGCCAUCGCUCAACGGAUAAAAGGUACUCCGGGGAUAACAGGCUGAUACCGCCCAAGAGUUCAUAUCGACGGCGGUGUUUGGCACCUCGAUGUCGGCUCAUCACAUCCUGGGGCUGAAGUAGGUCCCAAGGGUAUGGCUGUUCGCCAUUUAAAGUGGUACGCGAGCUGGGUUUAGAACGUCGUGAGACAGUUCGGUCCCUAUCUGCCGUGGGCGCUGGAGAAUUGAGGGGGGCUGCUCCUAGUACGAGAGGACCGGAGUGGACGCAUCACUGGUGUUCGGGUUGUCAUGCCAAUGGCACUGCCCGGUAGCUAAAUGCGGAAGAGAUAAGUGCUGAAAGCAUCUAAGCACGAAACUUGCCCCGAGAUGAGUUCUCCCUGACUCCUUGAGAGUCCUGAAGGAACGUUGAAGACGACGACGUUGAUAGGCCGGGUGUGUAAGCGCAGCGAUGCGUUGAGCUAACCGGUACUAAUGAACCGUGAGGCUUAACCUU
Molecule: ribosomal RNA, 2903 nt
Filed under: Escherichia coli DEC13D
Lineage: Bacteria; Pseudomonadati; Pseudomonadota; Gammaproteobacteria; Enterobacterales; Enterobacteriaceae
Description: bacterial LSU rRNA
Rfam family: Bacterial large subunit ribosomal RNA
Source: RNAcentral